This 622-nucleotide ribosomal RNA is filed under the name uncultured Enterobacter sp. RNAcentral describes it as "bacterial SSU rRNA". It matches the Rfam family "Bacterial small subunit ribosomal RNA", at positions 56 to 669 of the family's 1533-position model. Lineage: Bacteria; Pseudomonadati; Pseudomonadota; Gammaproteobacteria; Enterobacterales; Enterobacteriaceae. The record is from RNAcentral.
UGCAAGUCGGGCGGUAGCACAGAGAGCUUGCUCCCGGGUGACGAGCGGCGGACGGGUGAGUAAUGUCUGGGAAACUGCCUGAUGGAGGGGGAUAACUACUGGAAACGGUAGCUAAUACCGCAUAACGUCGCAAGACCAAAGAGGGGGACCUUCGGGCCUCUUGCCAUCAGAUGUGCCCAGAUGGGAUUAGCUAGUAGGUGGGGUAACGGCUCACCUAGGCGACGAUCCCUAGCUGGUCUGAGAGGAUGACCAGCCACACUGGAACUGAGACACGGUCCAGACUCCUACGGGAGGCAGCAGUGGGGAAUAUUGCACAAUGGGCGCAAGCCUGAUGCAGCCAUGCCGCGUGUAUGAAGAAGGCCUUCGGGUUGUAAAGUACUUUCAGCGGGGAGGAAGGUGUUGAGGUUAAUAACCUCAGCAAUUGACGUUACCCGCAGAAGAAGCACCGGCUAACUCCGUGCCAGCAGCCGCGGUAAUACGGAGGGUGCAAGCGUUAAUCGGAAUUACUGGGCGUAAAGCGCACGCAGGCGGUCUGUCAAGUCGGAUGUGAAAUCCCCGGGCUCAACCUGGGAACUGCAUUCGAAACUGGCAGGCUAGAGUCUUGUAGAGGGGGGUAGAAUUC